This 479-nucleotide long non-coding RNA is filed under the name Homo sapiens (human). Its description in RNAcentral is "HSALNT0213195". The record is from RNAcentral. Lineage: Eukaryota; Metazoa; Chordata; Mammalia; Primates; Hominidae.
CGGGGUCCCCGGGCAUGUCCUCAUGGGCUCUCAGCCCCAGGACAGGAGGAGCUGGGCAAACACACAGGAGACCAGCAGGCAGCAGGAGGGAGCCAGGCGUUUCCCUGGACGGCGGCCAUCGGGCUGUUGUUGGGAUCCAGUUUCAAGCUCCUUCGAGGAGAGCCGCAUGGGGUCAUCCCCUCCACGACGCCCCAGGAAGGAGACUGAUGAGCAGACAGUUGUUAACGCCGCGCCGCCGCCGCCACCGUGGAGGUUUGCCUUGAAAACCCCUCCACUGCCAGCUGCUCAGCUCUGCCCAGCCUAGGCCUCCAGGGCCCCAGGCUCCGCUGCCUGAGGAAAACCUGGAUCCUUCAGGGAGGAGGGGCACCGCCGCCGCAUUCCAAGGAGACCUCACACCCUCCCUCGCCUGCUGCUGCUUCCUUCUUAUUCUUCGGGGCUUUUCUAGCCCUCUGCUCCUCACAUCCUCCUGCCCCCAGGGA